UACGAAGGGGGCUAGCGUUGCUCGGAAUCACUGGGCUUAAAGGGCGCGUAGGCGGCUUGCCAAGUCAGGGGUGAAAUCUUUCGGCUUAACCGGAAAAGUGCCUUUGAUACUGGCAGGCUAGAGGGAGGUAGGGGCAUGCGGAACUUCCGGUGGAGCGGUGAAAUGCGUUGAUAUCGGAAGGAACGCCGGUGGCGAAAGCGGCGUGCUGGACCUCUUCUGACGCUGAGGCGCGAAAGCUAGGGGAGCAAACGGG
Molecule: ribosomal RNA, 253 nt
Filed under: uncultured bacterium
Lineage: Bacteria
Description: partial 16S ribosomal RNA
Rfam family: Bacterial small subunit ribosomal RNA
Source: RNAcentral